Molecule: ribosomal RNA, 1410 nt
Filed under: Duellmanohyla rufioculis
Lineage: Eukaryota; Metazoa; Chordata; Amphibia; Anura; Hylidae
Description: partial 16S ribosomal RNA
Rfam family: Bacterial large subunit ribosomal RNA
Source: RNAcentral
GCUAAAAAUCUAGCCCCCCCCCCAUUUAAACCUAAAUUCACUCACUAAAACAUUUUAACAUCUUAGUAAAGGCGAUCGAAAAAUUAUCAGGAGCUAUAAAGACAGUACCGCAAGGGAAAGAUGAAAUAAAACUGAAACAAAUUUCAAGCACAAAAAAGCAGAGACUUGCCCUCGUACCUUUUGCAUCAUGGUUUAACUAGUCUAAUCAAGCAAAACGAUUUACAGUUUGACCCCCCGAAACUAGACGAGCUACUUCAGGACAGCUUUAUGAGCAAACCCAUCCCUGUUGCAAAAGAGUGGGAAGACCCCCAAAGUAGAGGUGAUAUACCUAACGAGCCUAGUGAUAGCUGGUUGUCCAAGAAAAGAAUUUUAGUCCAACCUAAAGAACCAUUAAUACCUUUAAAUAACCCCUCUUUAGAGCAAUUCAAAUAAGGUACAGCCUAUUUGAAACAGGAUACAACCUAAACCGCCGGGUAAUAUUUUUAAUGGCAGUUAAGUAGGCCUAAGAGCAGCCACCUUUAAGAUAGCGUUAAAGCUUUCCCUACCCCCUCACCUAAUCCCACACUUAAUCAAGAACCCUCCACCCCUAUUGGACACUUUUAUAUACUUAUAAAAUUUUUUAUGUUAGAACUAGUAACAAGAAGAAGACCUUCUCUUAAUGCAAGUAUAAAUCAUAAAGGACACACCAAUGACUAUUAACAUACAUGAAAACAAAUUAGCAACCCAUCAAGAAAAACCUAUUCCAUAUUAUGUUAACCUAACACAAGAGCAUUACAAGAAAGAUUUAAAGAAAAAGAAGGAACUCGGCAAAUAUUAACCUCGCCUGUUUACCAAAAACAUCGCCUCUUGAUUAGUUAUAAGAGGUCUAGCCUGCCCAGUGACUCUGUUCAACGGCCGCGGUAUCCUAACCGUGCGAAGGUAGCGUAAUCACUUGCCCCUUAAAUGGGGGCUAGUAUGAACGGCAUCACGAAGGUUGUACUGUCUCCUUUUUCUAAUCAGUGAACCUGAUCUCCCCGUGAAGAAGCGAGGAUAAAGCUAUAAGACGAGAAGACCCUAUGGAGCUUUAAACAAGUAACAACUGCCAAUACUUUAAACAUUCCUGAACCCCUCACACCUAUUCUGGCCGCAUGUCUACUAGUUUUAGGUCGGGGCGACCACGGAGUAAAAAAUAACCUCCAUAUUGAACGGAAAUCCCAACUCCUGAGCCUUGGGCUACAACCCUAAUCCCCAAUAAAUUGACAUUAAUUGACCCAAUACUUUGAUCAACGAACCAAGUUACCCUAGGGAUAACAGCGCAAUCCGCUUUAAGAGCUCCUAUCGACAAGCGGGUUUACGACCUCGAUGUUGGAUCAGGGUACCCAAGUGGUGCAGCCGCUACUAAAGGUUCGUUUGUUCAACGAUUAAAACCCU